UACGGGGGGAGCAAGCGUUGUUCGGAUUUACUGGGCGUAAAGCGCGUGUAGGCUGACCGGAAAGUCGGGCGUGAAAUCCCUGGGCUCAACCCAGGAACUGCACUCGAAACUCCCGGUCUUGAGUGGUGGAGAGGGAAGUGGAAUUCCUGGUGUAGAGGUGAAAUUCGUAGAUAUCAGGAGGAACACCAGUGGCGAAGGCGGCUUCCUGGACACCAACUGACGCUGAGACGCGAAAGCCAGGGGAGCAAACGGG
RNAcentral lists this ribosomal RNA (253 nucleotides) under uncultured bacterium. RNAcentral's name for it is "partial 16S ribosomal RNA". It matches the Rfam family "Bacterial small subunit ribosomal RNA", at positions 524 to 776 of the family's 1533-position model. The record is from RNAcentral.